This 147-nucleotide non-coding RNA is filed under the name Gorilla gorilla gorilla (western lowland gorilla). The record is from Rfam by way of RNAcentral. Lineage: Eukaryota; Metazoa; Chordata; Mammalia; Primates; Hominidae.
GCUGGGUGUGGUGGUGCACACCUGUAGUCCCAGCUACUCAGGAGGCUGAGGUGGGAGGAUCACUUGAGUCUGGGAGGUCGAGGCUGCAGCAAGCCAGAUUUCGCCACUGCACUCCAGCCUGGGCAACAAAGUGAGACCCUGACUCAA